ACGGAAGGCAGCAGCGGGGGAUAUUGCGCAAUGGGGGAAACCCUGACGCAGCAACGCCGCGUGCAGGAUGACGGCCUUCGGGUUGUAAACUGUUGUCGCAAGGGAAGAAGACAGUGACGGUACCUUGUGAGAAAGCCACGGCUAACUACGUGCCAGCAGCCGCGGUAAUACGUAGGUGGCAAGCGUUGUCCGGAUUUACUGGGUGUAAAGGGCGCGUAGGCGGGCUUUCAAGUCAGAUGUGAAAUACCGGAGCUUAACUCCGGGGCUGCAUUUGAAACUGUUAGUCUUGAGUAUCGGAGAGGAAAGCGGAAUUCCUAGUGUAGCGGUGAAAUGCGUAGAUAUUAGGAGGAACACCAGUGGCGAAGGCGGCUUUCUGGACGACAACUGACGCUGAGGCGCGAAAGUGUGGGGAGCAAACAGGAUUAGAUACCCUGGUA
This 437-nucleotide ribosomal RNA is filed under the name uncultured Clostridium sp. Its description in RNAcentral is "partial 16S ribosomal RNA". It matches the Rfam family "Bacterial small subunit ribosomal RNA", at positions 341 to 792 of the family's 1533-position model. The record is from RNAcentral. Lineage: Bacteria; Bacillati; Bacillota; Clostridia; Eubacteriales; Clostridiaceae.